Small nuclear RNA from Suncus etruscus (white-toothed pygmy shrew), 104 nucleotides. NCBI's taxonomy places the organism in Eukaryota, Metazoa, Chordata, Mammalia, Eulipotyphla, Soricidae. The record is from RefSeq and is a predicted model, not a curated record.
GUGUUCGCUUCGGCAGCACAUAUACUAAAAUUGGAACGAUACAAAGAUUAGCAUGGCCCCUGUGUAAGGAUGAUAUGCAAAUUCGUAAAGCAUUCCAUAUUUUA